This is a long non-coding RNA of Gadus macrocephalus (Pacific cod), 3610 nucleotides long. RefSeq lists it as uncharacterized. The transcript is spliced from 3 exons. NCBI's taxonomy places the organism in Eukaryota, Metazoa, Chordata, Actinopteri, Gadiformes, Gadidae. The record is from RefSeq and is a predicted model, not a curated record.
ACCACCACCUGCAGUGUGUGUUCUCCCUGCACGCGAACAGGUCCACCUGAGCCGUCCCGAACCUCUGCCAGAUCAGUCUGACAAUGUCGGGAUGUAACCGCCACUCGUCUCGGCGGGGACCGCCGCGAGACAUGAGGUCCGCCCCGAAGUUCUGGGCGCCUGCGAUAUGCAGGGCUCUCAGACUGAGGAGAAAUACUCGGUCCACGGAGGAUUACUCUUGCAUUGCAUGGAUGGAUGCAUGUUUGUGCUUGGCCUCAGGUUCAGACUCUCCAUUUGGUGUGUUUCCUUGUACCAUUUCAGGUAAGAAUGGCUGUUUAUUUUUCCUUUACAGGUUGAUUCGAUACAUGGCUAGACUUCUCAUUCAGAGAUUUUUGCAUGGAAACGAUUUCAGGUGAGUUAGGAACUUUAGCCGGUUCAUCAGGUAAGUCAUUUUUACAAGAGAGGAUAUCCUGAUAUUCCAGUCGUUCCGAACCAGAUGGAUUUACACAUGGCUCUCCUUCAGAUUUUUCAUAUUUCUCUCUGUGAGUGUCUGUGUUCUUUAUUGGGUUGUCAAUGAUUUUGAUGAAACGGGUCUCUUUUAUUCCAUGUGAUGGCUCAAAGUGAUAACAGAUAUCUUCGUCAUCCUCUUGAGCUGUUAUCCUCUGGUUGAUCUGGGCUUUUCGAGGUUUACUAAUGCGCUCUGGUUCCUCCUCUUCUGCGAGAGAAAACCACAAGGGAGAAAGAGAUCCCUAUGGAGUGUUUGCAGUGGUCCACCCUCUUUCUCUGGUCUCACUGUGUAUACACUGUGUAGGCAUUUCUCCCAUUCGUUUGGUGACUAUAUAUAUAUUGUCGACUCCCGGUUUGUGUUUCUUCUGAGACGAAGAUUGUGGGCUAGGACUCGGUCUCCAACAUCCAAGGUAGACUCACGAAUGACUUUGUCAAACCUCUUCGUGUUUUUGUCAGCCACUUUGCAAGAGUUAUUGAUGGCUACUUGGUAGCUCUCCUCAAGAUGGCUUCUCAACUUUUUCACAUGCUGUGAAUGUGAGAGGGGCUGUUUGUCGCUGACUGGUAGUCCAAAAGCAAUAUCAAUCGGCAGCAGGGUUGCACCCAAACAUAAGUUCAUAUGGGGGGAAGCCUGUGUCGUCAUUUCUGGUACAGUUGUAAGCCUGAGUAAGCGGCUUAACGAAGUCACACCAGCGGGUUUUCUCUGUGUCCUUCAAUGUUGGUACAUUCUAGGGCUGGGCGAUAUGGCCUAAAAUAAAAAUCCCCGAUUUUUUCAUAAAAAAUCCGAUUUCCGAUUUAAAUCGAUUUACAUAAAAAAGCAUUAUGGCAGGCCCUGCCAUUGUAAACAGUGUAACCUGUAACAUAACAUAAAAUGUAAAAUAUAUAAAAUAUAAAAUAAAAUAUUUCUGUAAACAUAAAAUAUUUCUAAUGAUAAGAGGACUUCUGAUAAAGUGCCAACAUAACAUUCAAACUUUCAACACUGGUCAUAAAUAUACAGUGUUUUGCAAACGGUAAUAAUUACCUUAAGAAAGGGAAUAGUAACGGGAGAAGAAUGAGGAAAAACACACACGCACGCAGCUCUUUCCUUCACUUGUCUGUAUUGAAUGAGGAAGAGGAGUGCGAUCCCCCUACUGGAGCCCCGAUGCAUUACCAAAAGAUCGACGAAUUACCAACAGAUCGACGAAUUAUUAAACCACACAGAUAUAUUUCAAAUGAAUUAUGUUUACCUCAAAAUAGAUUAUACAUACAUGAAUAAAUGGUGGUAUACAACUUGUCAAACUCGCUGCCAUGUUUGUGUAUCACUUUGGUAAAUGCGCGCUCUGUGCGGGGGGAGGGCUGAGCCCAUUCCAAACUACGGGAGCUGAGAGGGAAGCGUUUGCGGAUGUUGAAGAGAAAACCGAUUUUAUUUUGAACAAGUCGACGUGAGCUACACACUCGAAUUAAUCGAUAAAAUCGGUUUAUCGCCCAGCCCUAGUACAUUCCUCUUCAUACUCAGUAAAGUCUUGUUGUAGCGCUUUACAGGAUUACCUCUGAGGUGAUACGGGCUGGUUCUCACUUUGCGUAUACCUAGCAGGGGGCACAGUUCUCGGAUGGUAUGUGAUUCGAAAUCUCUUCCCUGGUCACUAUGGAGUCGCUCUGGAAAACCAUAAUGGACUAAGAAGUGUUCCAACAUACUCUUCGCCACAGUACUGGCCUUUUGAUCUCUUGUAGGGAUGGCCAUGGCGUACUUGGUGAAGUGAUCUGUGACCACUAAGAUGUAUUUUUUGUUCUUGCUAUCAGGCUCUAUUGAGAGGAAGUCCAUGCAGACGACCUCCAGCGGCCUGGUGGUAUUGAUGUUUACAAGUGGGGCUGCCUUGUCAGGAGGGGCUUUUCUGCAGACACAUCUCUCACAAGUCUUCACUUUCUUCUCAAUCUCUUAAGCCAUUUUGGGCCAAUAGAAGCAAGAUCUGGUAAGUUCAACUGUUCGCUUGAUUCCUAGAUGGCCCAUAUUAUCAUGUUAUGUAUUAUCAGGUUUUGCAACACAGUGGAUCUGAGGGCCUCAGGGAGAACGAACUGCAUCAGAAUCUCUGUUCCAGACAGGCGCUUUCGGUAAGGAAGAUCCUCUUGUAGCUCAAUCAUCUUGUAGACCGUCCUCCUGCAUCGAGAUUGUGUUUUCCGGCGCUAUAUUUGAUGUUGAAGUUGAAUGUGGACAAUGCUGCCAGCCAGCGGUAGCUAGCGGCAUCUAGCUUCGCUGUGGUGAGAAGAGCAGCUCCAAGAAAGAUGGUGCUUACAUCUGUAUGAAGGAAGUACUGCAGUUUUGGAUCAGCAUAGCCUAGCACAGGUGAAGAGGUAAGUUUUUCUCCAACGUUCUCCAAGCGGUUCCUUGGGGUUUAGGUAUUUACCGUCACCCGGACUCGAUUUACAGCCUUUCCGACGAGGUGGGUAGCCUGGGGCUUAUUUCUCCUCACCAGAUUGACCUGGACUCAAAAUUCUUUCAUAACAUUAAUCUCUAGAAUCAGAUGCAUCUAUAAAACCUGGGUCUUAUGCCCUAAAUUUUUUUUACUUUUCCCACAAUUUCAUAUUAAAGCCAAACAUGAUAAAAAGAUUCACAGACUACAAAAAGAAUAAAAAAUUCACCAAAAUCUAAAUUCUUUAGACCAAGCCUCACAAAAACCAUCAAACAGAAUUUGUUUUAUUUAGUUCCAUUUGAGAAAUAUAGGCCAAUGAAGUUGGAGCAGUUAGCUCAUUUUUCUUGUAUGGACAUUUUGUUAUAGUAUAAAAAAAACAUACGACUAUUAUUAGGUGGAUACCAACUACCCAUAAACCCAAAUUGUGGUACUGCACCCAAAGGUGGCGCUAUUUUUUAAAAAUAUGAACUAGCCUUAUUUCUCCUUUACCAGAAAGAUAGAUGAUCUGAUACCAGAGAGAAAGGAUAAGGGUUACUAGAAUCCGGGUUGGAGUCCCAGAGAAAGUAACCUACAUUUUUUGUAACCUACAAUAAAUAAAGCAGGCUUCCAGUCAAUGGAAAAAUGGCUUCUCCCCACCGGCGAUUGUUGUUGUUUACGAUUUUCUAUCAGUUCUCACCACACAACGACGUCUCAUCUUUGCUCCUUGAAUGUCGAUAUGUAAUGGUAUGGAGUUAUUGAAA